Long non-coding RNA from Prionailurus viverrinus (fishing cat), 435 nucleotides. RefSeq lists it as uncharacterized. The transcript is spliced from 3 exons. The record is from RefSeq and is a predicted model, not a curated record. Lineage: Eukaryota; Metazoa; Chordata; Mammalia; Carnivora; Felidae.
GAACCUGAGGCAGAGCCAAGCACCGCCCCCACCAGCCACAGCAGAGUAGUGGCUGAGAAAGGCCCUAGGAAGCAGAGAAGAGCCUUUGAAGUUCUGCUUUUGCAAAACAAACCUAUAAAAGCAUCCAGGGACUAGAGAACAUUCCAGAGGGGACCUGGAAGAGGGCAGAACUACAAGAUGAACAGGACCAAGACUGAUUCCAAAUCUUUGCUCUAGUUUGCAUUAGCUGUGCAAUCUUCAACCAAUGCCCAUACACUCUUGCAACCCUGUGGCAGAGAUUGUGUUUCUCAAACCAUUUCAUUUUCUCUGGGCAAACAGAAGUCAGCAGUGGUCCUGGGACUGAUUCAUGAACUGCCAAACUAUUUCUGAAAAGGAACACACAUUUCUCAUGCCCUCCACAAUGUAUAAGAGUUCCAAUGUCUGAAGAAAAAUGAA